GGGCCUAUAGCUCAGCCUGGUUAGAGCGCAUCCCUGAUAAGGAUGAGGUCGUUAGUUCAAAUCUAACUAGGCCCACUA
RNAcentral lists this transfer RNA (78 nucleotides) under Actinomycetota bacterium. Its description in RNAcentral is "tRNA-Ile". It matches the Rfam family "tRNA". Rfam says of the family: Transfer RNA (tRNA) molecules are approximately 80 nucleotides in length. Their secondary structure includes four short double-helical elements and three loops (D, anti-codon, and T loops). The record is from RNAcentral. Lineage: Bacteria; Bacillati; Actinomycetota.